Non-coding RNA from Mycena epipterygia, 93 nucleotides. The record is from the annotation of a GenBank genome assembly. NCBI's taxonomy places the organism in Eukaryota, Fungi, Basidiomycota, Agaricomycetes, Agaricales, Mycenaceae.
GGCCUGGUGGUGUAAUGGUUAACACGCCUGCUUGUGUUUCCUGGAAUCCCCACCUUCAGUAGGAGGUUCCUUGUUCGAAUCAAGGCCAGGCCG